RNAcentral lists this ribosomal RNA (513 nucleotides) under uncultured bacterium. Its description in RNAcentral is "partial 16S ribosomal RNA". It matches the Rfam family "Bacterial small subunit ribosomal RNA", at positions 28 to 507 of the family's 1533-position model. The record is from RNAcentral.
GACGAACGCUGGCGGCGUGCUUAACACAUGCAAGUCGAACGAAAAGAGGGCAAGAGCUUGCUCUUUCCGGGAUGGAGUGGCAAACGGGUGGGUAAAACGUAAACACCCUGCCCUCAGUACGGGAACAACAGACGGAAACGACUGCAAAAACCGAAUAACUGCCACUAGCGGCUUGGCCCAUGGGGGAAAAGGUGGCCUCUACGUGUAAGCUAUCGCCUGCCGAGGGGCUUGCGGCUGGUUUGCUGGCUGGAUGGGUAGCGGACCGCCAAGGGGACGAUCAGCAGGCGGUCUGAGAGGGUGGACGGCCACACUGGAACUGAGUGACGGUCCAGACUCCUUCGUGAGGCAGCCGUGGGGAAUCUUCCGUGAUGGGCGAGAGCCAGACUGAGCAACGCCGGGUGAGUGAUGACGGGCGUCGGGUUGUAAGACUCUGUGUUCCGGGACGAAAAGGGAGAGUGCGAAGAACAAACUGCAUUGACGGUACCGGAAAAGCAAGCCACGGCUAACUACGUG